This 76-nucleotide transfer RNA is filed under the name bacterium. RNAcentral's name for it is "tRNA-Lys". It matches the Rfam family "tRNA". Rfam says of the family: Transfer RNA (tRNA) molecules are approximately 80 nucleotides in length. The record is from RNAcentral.
GGGCUGUUAGCUCAAUUGGCAGAGCAAAAGGCUUUUAACCUUUAGGUUCCGGGUUCGAGUCCCGGGCGGCCCACCA